This 497-nucleotide ribosomal RNA is filed under the name uncultured bacterium. RNAcentral's name for it is "partial 16S ribosomal RNA". It matches the Rfam family "Bacterial small subunit ribosomal RNA", at positions 28 to 507 of the family's 1533-position model. The record is from RNAcentral.
GACGAACGCUGGCGGCGUGCCUAAUACAUGCAAGUUGAGCGCUGAAGGUUGGUACUUGUACCAACUGGAUGAGCAGCGGACGGGUGAGUAACGCGUGGGGAAUCUGCCUUUGAGCGGGGGACAACAUUUGGAAACGAAUGCUAAUACCGCAUAAAAACUUUAAACACAAGUUUUAAGUUUGAAAGAUGCAAUUGCAUCACUCAAAGAUGAUCCCGCGUUGUAUUAGCUAGUUGGUGAGGUAAAGGCUCACCAAGGCGAUGAUACAUAGCCGACCUGAGAGGGUGAUCGGCCACAUUGGGACUGAGACACGGCCCAAACUCAUACGGGAGGCAGCAGUAGGGAAUCUUCGGCAAUGGACGAAAGUCUGACCGAGCAACGCCGCGUGAGUGAAGAAGGUUUUCGGAUCGUAAAACUCUGUUGGUAGAGAAGAACGUUGGUGAGAGUGGAAAGCUCAUCAAGUGACGGUAACUACCCAGAAAGGGACGGCUAACUACGUG